GAGUUUGAUCCCUGGCUCAGGAUGAACGCUAGCGGAACGCCUAACACAUGCAAGUCGAACGGAUUCUGCGUUGUAGCAAUACAUAGUAGAAUUAGUGGCAAACGAGCGAGUAACGCGUGCCUAACCUGCCCUUAAGAUGGGAACAACUACGGAGACGUAGCUAAGUCCCAAUAUGCUCACGAUGGUGAAAUGCCGAUGCGAGGAAAGAUUUAUCGCUUAAGGAGGGGGGCGCGUCCUAUCAGGUAGUUGGUUGAGGUAACGGCUCACCAAGCCUAUGACAGGUAGCUGGUCUGAGAUGAUGUCCAGCCGCGAUGGGACUGAGAUACGGCCCAUACUCCUACGGGAGGCAGCAGUGGGGAAUCUUGCACAAUGGACGAAAGUCUGAUGCAGCGAUCCCGCGUGAAGGAUGAAGCAUUACGGUGUGUAAACUUCUUUUUUGGUGGAAGACGAAUGACGGUACACCAAGAAUAAGAGACGGCUAACUACGUGCCAGCAGCCGCGGUAAUACGUAGGUCUCAAGCGUUAUCCGGAUUUACUGGGCGUAAAGUAUCCGUAGCCUGAUAUGUAAGUCUGUUUUCAAAUCCCACGACUCAAUCGUGGAAAGGGAAUGGAUACUGCAUAUCUAGAAGUUAUUGGGGGUUAGUGGAAUUUCCGGUGGAGCGGUGAAAUGCGUUGAUAUCGGAAAGAACGCCGAAAGCGAAAGCAGCUAACUAUGAUUAACUUGACGGUGAGGGAUGAAAGUUUGGGUAGCAAACGGGAUUAGAUACCCCGGUAGUCCAAACUGUAAAUUAUGCUUGCUAGGUGUUUCGAUCCUUGUGGUCGGAGUGCCGUAAUCUAACGAGUUAAGCAAGUCGCCUGGGUAGUAUAUUCGCAAGAAUGAAACUCAAAGGGAUAGGGGGGGGAAC
RNAcentral lists this ribosomal RNA (905 nucleotides) under uncultured candidate division SR1 bacterium. RNAcentral's name for it is "bacterial SSU rRNA". It matches the Rfam family "Bacterial small subunit ribosomal RNA", at positions 9 to 922 of the family's 1533-position model. Lineage: Bacteria; Candidatus Absconditibacteriota. The record is from RNAcentral.